Molecule: ribosomal RNA, 1169 nt
Filed under: Shigella sonnei
Lineage: Bacteria; Pseudomonadati; Pseudomonadota; Gammaproteobacteria; Enterobacterales; Enterobacteriaceae
Description: partial 23S ribosomal RNA
Rfam family: Bacterial large subunit ribosomal RNA
Source: RNAcentral
GGGUUGUGAGGUUAAGCGACUAAGCGUACACGGUGGAUGCCCUGGCAGUCAGAGGCGAUGAAGGACGUGCUAAUCUGCGAUAAGCGUCGGUAAGGUGAUAUGAACCGUUAUAACCGGCGAUUUCCGAAUGGGGAAACCCAGUGUGAUUCGUCACACUAUCAUUAACUGAAUCCAUAGGUUAAUGAGGCGAACCGGGGGAACUGAAACAUCUAAGUACCCCGAGGAAAAGAAAUCAACCGAGAUUCCCCCAGUAGCGGCGAGCGAACGGGGAGCAGCCCAGAGCCUGAAUCAGUGUGUGUGUUAGUGGAAGCGUCUGGAAAGGCGCGCGAUACAGGGUGACAGCCCCGUACACAAAAAUGCACAUAUUGUGAGCUCGAUGAGUAGGGCGGGACACGUGGUAUCCUGUCUGAAUAUGGGGGGCCCAUCCUCCAAGGCUAAAUACUCCUGACUGACCGAUAGUGAACCAGUACCGUGAGGGAAAGGCGAAAAGAACCCCGGCGAGGGGAGUGAAAAAGAACCUGAAACCGUGUACGUACAAGCAGUGGGAGCACGCUUAGGCGUGUGACUGCGUACCUUUUGUAUAAUGGGUCAGCGACUUAUAUUCUGUAGCAAGGUUAACCGAAUAGGGGAGCCGAAGGGAAACCGAGUCUUAACUGGGCGUUAAGUUGCAGGGUAUAGACCCGAAACCCGGUGAUCUAGCCAUGGGCAGGUUGAAGGUUGGGUAACACUAACUGGAGGACCGAACCGACUAAUGUUGAAAAAUUAGCGGAUGACUUGUGGCUGGGGGUGAAAGGCCAAUCAAACCGGGAGAUAGCUGGUUCUCCCCGAAAGCUAUUUAGGUAGCGCCUCGUGAAUUCAUCUCCGGGGGUAGAGCACUGUUUCGGCAAGGGGGUCAUCCCGACUUACCAACCCGAUGCAAACUGCGAAUACCGGAGAAUGUUAUCACGGGAGACACACGGCGGGUGCUAACGUCCGUCGUGAAGAGGGAAACAACCCAGACCGCCAGCUAAGGUCCCAAAGUCAUGGUUAAGUGGGAAACGAUGUGGGAAGGCCCAGACAGCCAGGAUGUUGGCUUAGAAGCAGCCAUCAUUUAAAGAAAGCGUAAUAGCUCACUGGUCGAGUCGGCCUGCGCGGAAGAUGUAACGGGGCUAAACCAUGCACCGAAGCUG